UCCUUUAAUAGUCUUUGCACUGUGAUAAUGAAUGACAAAACUAGAUUCUGGAUCAAUUCUGUGUGUACUGAUUGUCGUUCAACAAAGAAACCCUCCACAUGUAAAUGUAUAAUUAUCCAUUGAAAGAAGCUAAAUUAAAUUAAGAUUCACAACCUAUGUCCGUGUUAGGUUUAAAUAUUAAUUUAUAUUAUUGAUGAACAAGCAGUUUGUUUGCCUCACAUAGAGAAAUCUUGAGUUCUUAAUAGUCCAAUAAAAACAUACUGUAGGUCCAGUUAAAUGAUUAUUAUUCUUUGUUUUGGUUUAUGAUACUGAGCCUGCCAAAAAUUAACCCGAUGAUAAAUAUAGAUGCAGACAUGUUAUUGUUCUUUUCAUGAUUGCUCCAAUUCUUCCCAUAAUCCUUUUUUUUGCGCGUAGUCUUCCUAUGGCCGUUCCUUUUCUUAACAUGGCAUGUGGAGCUGUUGUGGAACCAUGUAAAGUGUCACCCUGAGGAAAAUCUUACAAACAGGGGGUAAUAAGACAAGAAAAAUCAUCUAGGUCUACUAAUUUUGCACAUUGAAACAAUUGUUUGUUGCCUUCGCCGCCAUCAGUGACGACCCAAAUAUAAAUCCUCUCAUUGACUAUCUACACACUGUACAUCAAUAGAGCGUUUCAUCUGAUUGAUAUAGCUACUACCGUGUAUCUACUGUCCCACAGAAAAUAGUAUAACAGAUUCUUAAUUAAUGCAUUUGUAACAUGCGUAGAUUAUUACUUAAUUUACUGCUCAUGCAUGAGGAUAUCGGAAGAAGUGAGUUCACAUUCCAUGCAAUUCCAUUAUUCUCUAUUCAGAACCACAAUAUACGAAAAAUGAUAAUUCUCAAUGGAUAAUCUAGAGCCUACCGAAUAUAUAUUUUAUAUCUCAGUGUGAGCAUAUUAGAUUUUCUAGAGUUUGGAUGCAUAUCUUUUUAACUGUAGACUUCACAGAAUGUUUCAUUUCUAAUAAUUUGUUUUUUACAAUGCUAUUUCCUCACAGCACUUUCAGGAGGAUAUUGUUGAUGAGGUUUAAAAGGCAGAGUGAGUGAGUGAAUGUGUGCUGUGUUUUUACAGUGACCAAAUUUUCUGCCUUUCCUAUGGUGACCGACCCAAUUCCAUAAAAAAUGUUAACUUCCAAUGAAAUGCCCAGCAUCCCAAUGCACAGGGAAGAUCCACCUCCUGCCACUCAAACACCUCCUGACUCCUAUUCUUGAAUCCUGCUCUAAGAUCGACCAUACAAUGACCCAACGAAUUCUUAUGGGAAGGACAUUAUGGAUGCAUGAAGAGACUUACGAGGAUUGCAGUUUGUUGAUGUGGAACAGCGAUAUGACCAUUACAUGCAGCAAGGAGCUUGUGCCACUUUCAAGCGCUGUGUUCAUUCCCUGGCAUUGCCCACUGUACUGUAUAUGCGAGCUGUGGCAUUUCCCAUAAAUAAACACGCAGAGCGAUGUUAAGGACAUGUUGGCUGAAGCUUCACAACUAGGAGAGAGUGAACUACAGAGCAUAAAGAGGUCGUUCAGAGUGUUCCUAAUUUUCUAUGCUAUUCCAUACCAAAGGUUGUAUAUUCCAGGUUGUGCUAGGAAGAAAAUUAUGAACAAUAUGUUGUAGAUUCAUGCGAUUGUGACUGUUCGGUUAUGUAUAUCUGUAAUCCUUUAUGAUGGCUCCUGUAUAAGACAUUACAAAGUUCAGAUAUAGGUAUACUAAAAGAGAAUUUAUUCAUUCAAA
Lolium rigidum is the source of this 1734-nucleotide long non-coding RNA. RefSeq lists it as uncharacterized. The transcript has 2 exons. NCBI's taxonomy places the organism in Eukaryota, Viridiplantae, Streptophyta, Magnoliopsida, Poales, Poaceae. The record is from RefSeq and is a predicted model, not a curated record.